AGAGAUUGGUCAGACCAUAGAGUCAUAUAGAAGACAGCGUGCUAGCGUAUCUAUCCUUCUAUACAUAUCUAUGGUCAGCACAUCUGGUAGCAUCUGUGGCUGUUGUUGAUCUUGUUUUUGGAGUAAAAGCACGGUGGAAGCUGAAUUAGUGAGGAUGACUCCUGCUCCUGUCAUCUCUAAGCUCCUCACACAUCUUUACCUGCACAUGAGGAAAAUCACUCCUGUAGAAUGCAGUGGUUCAUCAGAACCUCUGGGGAUGUCCUGUGGAUUCUGUGGAUCCUGUGGGUUGCAGGGUGGGUCCUACCUAGACCAGGCUGAUCCUGGACCAUCCCACAGAUGCUCCAUCAGAUGUGGAUGUGGGGAGUGUGGAACCCAGAUGUUCAGAGGGACAUGAUGCCACAUCUGGUCCAGCCGAUGGAAGGUCUUGAAGUUCUCUGACUGGCCUCGACUGAAGAUGGUCGUCUCACUGGAUUUAAGGUUCAGAUGCUCAGUAACAAACUCCACCAAUGAGCCAACAGGGAGGCUUUAGGUUUAUUAAAUGUUGCUAUGAAGGUAUCGCUGUUUUUCUUUGUGAAUGCAAUGUGCUCCAACUGAAACUUGAAUUAGAACUUAGAAGUAAAUCCUUCCAUCUGAAAGGAUUUAGUUGCAUUAAUAACCUCAUAACAUUCUAAUUUUUAUUUCAGUCUUGGUUGGAAAUAGAAUCUCUGUAUUGAUUCAGGUAAAAACUGAACUUCACAGCAUGUUGGAGCAAAACAACCAGAUGAAAACUGUGAUGGUGUUGGAUUGUCAGACCGUAAUGUUGCAGCUCAAAGCAGCUUUUCUAUCUCAGUUCAUUCUGACAUUCAGCUAUGAAUCAACACAGCAGAUGGUGAUCCAUGCUGUGGAAGCCUCACAUCUCCUGAUUUAAUGGAGCUGCUUUGCACUUUUUACACUGUUUAUUCACCAACACUUUAUUUAAUAAAAGUCCCAUCUAGUUUUUAUGAGGAAUGUGAUGUUUUAAUUUCUCUGUGAAUAACUGCAGUCUAAUGCAACAGCUGGAGUUGUAACAUCUGUCCUGAUAUUGAUCAUGAAGUAUUGAUCAGAAUACUUAUGGUUAGCAGUCAUCCCUGAAGUUUUACAUUAAAAUCUUUACUUGUGUUGUGAACUUUGGUAAGAAGCAGAAACUUUAGCGUUGCCAUGGAUACAUGUGUUAAAUUCUGUCCAUGUUUCCAUUUUGGGAAAUGCAGUCCAGCAGAUGAGUUUGUUUUUACUGCCAGCUACCAUUCAGUCUGCGAUAUUAAGAAUAAAUAAAUGUGCAUAAUGUGGAAAUGAACAGAUUCAAUUUUUAUUUAUUCCUACAGCUGCUCCAGGGAAUGUUCUAGAAUGUGGAGGAAUUUAGUCCCACAAUCACAGACAAUAAAUAAUAUCUGAAAGUCAGGUUAUUGUUGUUUAUCAGCACAAUAUAAAAAGAUUAAUGUUAGAAAUAUUCCAGUUAAGACUCUAGAAUAUCAGGAUUUAUGUAAAUUCACCUCAAUAAUAUGAAUGUUCAGGUUAAGAUUGUACAGGGAUAUUUAUUAUGUAAGUUAGGCUGAUUAAAGUUUAUGACUCUGCACUACAGUAUUAUUAUUUAUUUAAAUUUGCAUCAUUAUUAUAAUAUUUAGGGUCAGACCCUAUGGUAUUGAGAUUAAGAAAUCAAAUAUUCUAUAAAUUGUAAAUGCACUGAACUCAUUUGGAUAUAUUUAAGUGAGACUCUACAAUAUUAUUUAUGACACAAAUCUAUCUAAAUCCAAAUUUUAAUCAUUUUUACUUCAAACAUUUACUGGACUAAUUUAAUUAUUAAAAUCACUCCUUUCUAAUCCUCUGCUGUACGUUUAAACCUGAGGCCUUAAAUAGAAACACACAAGUAUCUGAUUGAAGGAACUUCUGCAGAGUCCUGGUUCCAGAACAUGAUGAUAGAAUUAUAGACAAACUUUACCAAAAGCUGCCUGAGAGUUUACAGGUUUUAUGUUAGAUUUCUUCAGUAAUUUAAUGAGAGUUAUCAGCAAAAAUCAAGGGUUCAAUUGAUGAACUUCAUUUCCUAAAACAUCCAGAAUUGGAGCUCAUAUCUUUGGCAGCUGUAAAAUUUCUGCUCCUUCAACGUUCACAAAAUGAAUUGAUUCCUGAAACACUUUCAAUGCUGGAGAGCGUUUGUGAUGCUGAAGCAGUGACCAGUUUUUCUGUUUCUUCUCUGGAGAUGCACAAUGAGGGACGUCUGCAGCGACUGAGAAAGAGUCUCACCACAUCCUGACAUGAGGAAAAAGACUUUAUUGAAGACUACAAUGAGAAAAACUAUCAGACAGCAGACUGCUGCAUUCAAGGUGAGCUCUGAACAUUUGAUCUGGAACAGGAAUUCAAUAAUGGCAGCAUGAGCUUCAUUUCAGUCUGUAGCUGCUGAAUUCAUGGAUGAAUCAUCUGGCACUAGAGAAGAAGACCAUCAAACAUCCACGUCAGCUGAUGGAGGUCCAAGAGUCUCACCAAACAAACAACCUACAGAGUGAAGACCUCGAAUCUGAUUGGACGGCCUCCUAUUCAGCCACAUGUGUGAACAAAUGCCUCUAAGCUGAUUUGUUUUCUAAAAUAAAUCUAGUUUGAGUCCUAA
This is a long non-coding RNA of Amphiprion ocellaris (clown anemonefish), 2617 nucleotides long. RefSeq lists it as uncharacterized. Lineage: Eukaryota; Metazoa; Chordata; Actinopteri; Pomacentridae. The record is from RefSeq and is a predicted model, not a curated record. The transcript has 4 exons.